Long non-coding RNA from Anthonomus grandis grandis, 5561 nucleotides. RefSeq lists it as uncharacterized. The record is from RefSeq and is a predicted model, not a curated record. NCBI's taxonomy places the organism in Eukaryota, Metazoa, Arthropoda, Insecta, Coleoptera, Curculionidae. The transcript has 2 exons.
GUCACUUUUAACAUAUUUGUCAUUAUUUUCACUUUGUCCCUAGAUGUCACUUUUGACAUAUCGGCUUCAGAAAUUACUACUAUUUAUAAUUAAUUUUUUUCUGUAGAAACUUGUGACACCUUACCAAUACGCAAUGUCGAGCUCACGAGCACGCAGAAUUAUAUCUCUCGCAUUGGAGAAGAAGCCAGAGCAUAAUGCAUCAGAGCCAAAUCAAGCAUUGAAUUCAGGAUACGAAAUCUUAAAAAUACCUGAAAUACAGUUCGUCGAAGAUGAAAAUGCUGCACCUAAUUUUGACUGCAAUACAAAUUAUAAUACGGCCAAAGAUGCUGACAAUAAUAAACCUUGCACUUCAUUCCCACGCAUUGAGUUUUCACCAGAACUGAAAAACAAUGCUCAAAUGUCGGACUUGGUUAGCGAUAAUGAUGAUGAUUCCGUGAAGGACCCUAACUAUAAAUCUGAUGAUAGCAGUGAUUCUAGUUCGUCAAGUUCUCUUCUGGAUCAAGUGGUAGUUCCUGUUCGGGUUGUAGUAAUAAUUCAAGUUGCAGUGUUUCUUUAUCGAGUUCAAACGUUGUUGGCCAGGCAUUAGACACUGAAUUCGUUAAUAAUCAAGAGGUAAUCAAGAACCAGAAAAUCAAGCAAAAAAUACUCAAGUGUCAGAAAUUCAACUUUUAGACUCUCAUACAGCAAACACUUUAGUAGCAAAUAUUCAAAGUGCAAACGCUCAAGAUACAGCUCCUCAAGCAGGAGGUACUCCGGAAGUAAAUACUCAAAUUCUCAAGCCUAAAAAAAGAGGAAAGAAGCGAGUAGCACUGACAGAAGAAUGGUUAAGCAAAAAAGCGAAGAAAUUACGGAACUCAGGUCAAGCAUACACCUCAAGAUCUAAAUCUCAAACAAAUGUAAAAGCCAGAAGUAUUAGACCUCCUUGUGGUGAUAAAUGCCGGCUGAAAUGCUCUAAUAGAUGAAAAUAUAAGACAAGAUAUUUUCGAAAAGCGCUCAGAAACCUAGAGAACAUAAUAAUGCAUUUUAUUUUUAUACGUCAAUGAUGAUCCAGUCCGCGUAUGUAAAUUUUUCUUUAUGUCUACGCUGGAUAUUAAUAACCGAAUUACAAGAACAGUCGUCGACAAAGUUGAAAUACCCCCCCGUUUGGAUUUUUUUCAGAAAAAAUAUUUUUUUUCGAAUUCGAACUAACUAUACCAGCGGAUUGUUCUCAUCAAGUAGAUCACGAAAAUACCGGGUUAUAAGGGAAUCCGAGCAGAACUAAGAAAUCGAGUAUUUUUUCGACCUCGUUUUUGAGGCCAAAAAUGGGCAUCAAAAAUGUCAUAUCUCGGCUAUCAUAAAAGCUACGACCUUGCGGAUGGUCUCGUUGGAUUCAGAACGACGAAACUAAGACAAAACCGUCGGAAUUUUUCCGAUAGCUCCCACAGAAGCCGAGAUAUCGGCCUUCAAAGUUUGGGUUUUUCCAUUUUUCGGGUAUACCCCCCCGUUUGGAUUUUUUUCAGAAAAAAAUAUUUUUUUUCGAAUUCGAACUAAUUAUACCAGCGAAUUGUUCUCAUCAAGUAGAUCACAAAAAUACCGGGUUAUAAGGGAAUCCGAGCAGAACUAAGAAAUCGAGUAUUUUUUCGACCUCGUUUUUGAGGCCAAAAAUGGGCAUCAAAAAUGUCAUAUCUCGGCUAUCGUAAAAGCUACGACCUUGCGGAUGGUCUCGUUGGAUUCAGAACGACGAAACUAAGACAAAACCGUCGGAAUUUUUCCGAUAGCUCCCACAGAAGCCGAGAUAUCGGCCUUCAAAGUUUGGGUUUUUUCAUUUUUCGGGUAUACCCCCCCGUUUGGAUUUUUUUCAGAAAAAGGUAUUUUUUUUCGAAUUCGAACUAACUAUACCAGCAGAUUGUUCUCAUCAAGUAGAUCACAAAAAUACCGGGUUAUAAGGGAAUCCGAGCAGAACUAAGAAAUCGAGUAUUUUUUCGACCUCGUUUUUGAGGCCAAAAAUGGGCAUCAAAAAUGUCAUAUCUCGGCUAUCGUAAAAGCUACGACCUUGCGGAUGGUCUCGUUGGAUUCAGAACGACGAAACUAAGACAAAACCGUCGGAAUUUUUCCGAUAGCUCCCACAGAAGCCGAGAGAUCGGUCUUCAAAGUUUGGGUUUUUUCAUUUUUCGGGUAUACCCCCCCCGUUUGGAUUUUUUUCAGAAAAAAAUAUUUUUUUUCGAAUUCGAACUAACUAUACCAGCGGAUUGUUCUCAUCAAGUAGAUCACAAAAAUACCGGGUUAUAGGGGAAUCCGAGCAGAACUAAGAAAUCGAGUAUUUUUUCGACCUCGUUUUUGAGGCCAAAAAUGGGCAUCAAAAAUGCCAUAUCUCGGCUAUCGUAAAAGCUACGACCUUGCGGAUGGUCUCGUUGGAUUCAGAAUGACGAAACUAAGACAAAACCGUCGGAAUUUUUCCCAUAGCUCCCAUAGAAGCCGAGAGAUCGGUCUUCAAAGUUUGGGUUUUUUCAUUUUUCGGGUAUACCCCCCCGUUUGGAUUUUUUUCAGAAAAAAAUAUUUUUUUUCGAAUUCGAACUAAUUAUACCAGCGAAUUGUUCUCAUCAAGUAGAUCACAAAAAUACCGGGUUAUAAGGGAAUCCGAGCAGAACUAAGAAAUCGAGUAUUUUUUCGACCUCGUUUUUGAGGCCAAAAAUGGGCAUCAAAAAUGUCAUAUCUCGGCUAUCGUAAAAGCUACGACCUUGCGGAUGGUCUCGUUGGAUUCAGAACGACGAAACUAAGACAAAACCGUCGGAAUUUUUCCGAUAGCUCCCACAGAAGCCGAGAUAUCGGCCUUCAAAGUUUGGGUUUUUUCAUUUUUCGGGUAUACCCCCCCGUUUGGAUUUUUUUCAGAAAAAGGUAUUUUUUUUCGAAUUCGAACUAACUAUACCAGCAGAUUGUUCUCAUCAAGUAGAUCACAAAAAUACCGGGUUAUAAGGGAAUCCGAGCAGAACUAAGAAAUCGAGUAUUUUUUCGACCUCGUUUUUGAGGCCAAAAAUGGGCAUCAAAAAUGUCAUAUCUCGGCUAUCGUAAAAGCUACGACCUUGCGGAUGGUCUCGUUGGAUUCAGAACGACGAAACUAAGACAAAACCGUCGGAAUUUUUCCGAUAGCUCCCACAGAAGCCGAGAGAUCGGUCUUCAAAGUUUGGGUUUUUUCAUUUUUCGGGUAUACCCCCCCCGUUUGGAUUUUUUUCAGAAAAAAAUAUUUUUUUUCGAAUUCGAACUAACUAUACCAGCGGAUUGUUCUCAUCAAGUAGAUCACAAAAAUACCGGGUUAUAGGGGAAUCCGAGCAGAACUAAGAAAUCGAGUAUUUUUUCGACCUCGUUUUUGAGGCCAAAAAUGGGCAUCAAAAAUGCCAUAUCUCGGCUAUCGUAAAAGCUACGACCUUGCGGAUGGUCUCGUUGGAUUCAGAAUGACGAAACUAAGACAAAACCGUCGGAAUUUUUCCCAUAGCUCCCAUAGAAGCCGAGAGAUCGGUCUUCAAAGUUUGGGUUUUUUCAUUUUUCGGGUAUACCCCCCCGUUUGGAUUUUUUUCAGAAAAAAAUAUUUUUUUUCGAAUUCGAACUAACUAUACCAGCGGAUUGUUCUCAUCAAGUAGAUCACAAAAAUACCGGGUUAUAAGGGAAUCCGAGCAGAACUAAGAAAUCGAGUAUUUUUUCGACCUCGUUUUUGAGGCCAAAAAUGGGCAUCAAAAAUGCUAUAUCUCGGCUAUCGUAAAAGCUACGACCUUGCGGAUGGUCUCGUUGGAUUCAGAACGACGAAACUAAGACAAAACCGUCGGAAUUUUUCCGAUAGCUCCCACAGAAGCCGAGAUAUCGGCCUUCAAAGUUUGGGUUUUUUCAUUUUUCGGGUAUACCCCCCCGUUUGGAUUUUUUUCAGAAAAUAUAUUUUUUUUCGAAUUCGAACUAACUAUACCAGCGGAUUGUUCUCAUCAACUAGAUCACGAAAAUACCGGGUUAUAACAGGAUUAGAUCAGAAAUAAGGGAAUGAGAGCACUUUGAAAAUUCGGAAAUUGUCACUUUUUGACCUCGUUUUUGAGGCCAAAAAUGGGCAUCAAAAAUGCCAUAUCUCGGCUAUCGUAAAAGCUACGACCUUGCGGAUGGUCUCGUUGGAUUCAGAACGACGAAUUUAAGACAAAACCGUCGGAAUUUUUCCCAUAGCUCCCAUAGAAGCCGAGAGAUCGGUCUUCAAAGUUUGGGUUUUUUCAUUUUUCGGGUAUACCCCGUUUGGAUUUUUUUCAGAAAAAAAUAUUUUUUUUCGAAUUCGAACUAACUAUACCAGCGGAUUGUUCUCAUCAAGUAGAUCACAAAAAUACCGGGUUAUAAGGGAAUCCGAGCAGAACUAAGAAAUCGAGUAUUUUUUCCACGUAUUGAGAGUCAUUACCUUCGCUUGCAAACUACUAGGGAAUACAUUGAUAGUGGAAAAAAUUUAACCGAUAUAUUUAAUGACUACAAACAAAAAUGUCAAGACAAUAAUCUACCUCACGCAAAUUUAGUGAUGUUCUCAAAAAUUUUUAACACUGAAUUUAAUAUAAGUUUUUUCAUCCCCAGAAAAGAUCGUUGCGAAUUGUUCAAUGCUUAUGAAAUUGCCACAAGGGAUGCCAAGGAAAAAUUGGAAAGCAAAUAUUUAUUGCAUUUAGAAGAAAAAGAUUUAUCAAGAAAUGAAAAAAACCAAGAAAAGGAAAAAGCUAGUCCCAAUGAUGUGGUGUCAGUUUAUGAUCUGCAAGCAGUUCUUCCUGUUCCUCAAGGAACUGUGUCCGUUUUCUAUUACAAUCUAUUACAAAUCAAAAUUGAACUGUUAUAACUUUACCGUGUCUGAAUUAAAAACAGGUUUAACGGAAUGCUACUUCUGGCAUGAAGGGCAUGGAAAUAGGGGACCUGAUGAGAUUGGUUCAUGUGUGCUUGAUUUUAUAAAAAAAAAGUUAAGACACUUCUAAAAGUGAAGAUGGGCUUGACUUUAUAUUUAUGCUUAUUACUGUAUAUUUAUGCUCGGUCCAAAUACCCAAAAAUACACUCAAUAACUCAAAAAUAUCUAAUAGCGGGCAUAGUCAGAGUGAAGGAGAUUCUGUUCAUUCAACUAUUGAAAAGGCUGUAAAGAAAAGUUUAAGAUCUGGUCCUAUCUACGUGCCUAGUCAGUAUGCACAAAUUAUUCUUACAGCAAAAAAAAAGGAAAGAACGCUAUCAUGUAAAUGAACUCGGUCAUCCGGAUUUUUAUUCACUUAAAACACUGUGUGACGAGAUAGGUAUGACGGGCUUUAAAUCCUUAAGAUUACCGAAGUAAAGGUUUUUAAGUUAAAUCAAGAUAAUCCGACCACUCUUUACUAUAAAACAUCCUAUAAAGAUGAAGACUUUAAGCAAGUAGAUUUAUGCAGAAGAAAAAAAAAUAUUAAUAUACCAAAUACUCUACAACAUGCCUACAAAAGUGAACUUAGCAUUAAAGAGAACAAGAAAAAAGAUCUAUUAAAUUUGUUACAUAAUAAUCACAUUCCGAGUUGUUAUUCAGUAUUUUAUAAUUCUUUGUAAUAAAAAAAUAUUUUUUUUUUAAA